This 791-nucleotide long non-coding RNA is filed under the name Mytilus galloprovincialis (Mediterranean mussel). The record is from RNAcentral. Lineage: Eukaryota; Metazoa; Mollusca; Bivalvia; Mytilida; Mytilidae.
AUUUAAUAAAUUCAUGUUUAAAAGCUGAUUAAAUUAUUUUUUUAAAAUCCUAAAAUGAGUCUGCUUCUAACAUUUUUGUAGUUGAACAUCAAAAUGAAAACAUAGUGAGGACACAACACUUCAAAUAAUUACAUAAUAUUAUGUCUUUAUUACUUGAACAUGUUUUUGAAAUUCUAAAUGCUGUAAUCAUAAUAAGCACAAAGAGUUAAAAUCACAGUUAAGGUGGCUCGUGGGUACAAAAAUUUCAGCAAAAAAUUGAACCUUUAUUUUUUCAUUACAAAUUUUAUUUAUUACACUAGUAGUUAUUACUUUAUGAUAUGGUAAAAAAAUCAGCCCCAAAAAUCGAUUCAGUUUGGCCCCAGAUGACUUUUAAAAUGUUUAUAUCAUUGAAAAAGCUCCAAAUUAUCUCCCUUUGGUGCAAAAAAUGCCAUUUUUUGGCAUUGAAUUUUAAGUAUCUUUUUUAACUCAUCGGUGACCUUUAUUUUUUAUUAUUGUUUUCAUAUAAGCUGUAUGUAAACUAAAUAAUUGUUAAAAUUUAAGCGAUUUCUGUAAUUAUGUUAUUUAUUUAUUUCGAUAUUACCUCUAUUUCUCCUAUUAGUUCAACAGAAAAAAAGGACAUUAACAAAAAGAUAUGCUUCUUCUGGAGGCAGAUUGUGAGCUUAAAUAAACGGUGACCCCAUUUUUUUAUUUCAUUUUUCUUUUAAGUAUAUGAUAAAGUUCAUUUAUAAAAAAAAUAUAGCGAAAUCCUAUAUUAGAAAAAAAAUUUGAUUUAUACCCAGGAGCCCCCUUAA